RNAcentral lists this ribosomal RNA (253 nucleotides) under uncultured bacterium. RNAcentral's name for it is "partial 16S ribosomal RNA". It matches the Rfam family "Bacterial small subunit ribosomal RNA", at positions 524 to 776 of the family's 1533-position model. The record is from RNAcentral.
UACGUAGGGCGCAAGUGUUGUCCGGAAUUAUUGGGCGUAAAGAGCUCGUAGGCGGCUUGUCACGUCGGGUGUGAAAGCCCGGGGCUUAACCCCGGGUCUGCAUUCGAUACGGGCAGGCUAGAGUGUGGUAGGGGAGAUCGGAAUUCCUGGUGUAGCGGUGAAAUGCGCAGAUAUCAGGAGGAACACCGGUGGCGAAGGCGGAUCUCUGGGCCAUUACUGACGCUGAGGAGCGAAAGCGUGGGGAGCGAACAGG